Melospiza melodia melodia is the source of this 1757-nucleotide long non-coding RNA. RefSeq lists it as uncharacterized. NCBI's taxonomy places the organism in Eukaryota, Metazoa, Chordata, Aves, Passeriformes, Passerellidae. The record is from RefSeq and is a predicted model, not a curated record. The transcript has 4 exons.
CAUAUUGGAUCAAAGACUAGAACUGCCACCUCCUGUUUACAAUGGGCUGGAGCAGUCACAGAAUUGUCAGGGCUACUUUCUGUCUCGGUGUGAUUGGAAAUAAGACUGAAAACGGUACCUUAGCAAGAAGAUGUGCAUAUGCCUCUAAAGUUGGGUUUUCAAGAGACAAAAGAAACACAAACAAGAAACAUGGGUACUCACCAUGUUCUUAUAACACCAGCUAAGUGGGCUUUGACGUAUGCUGAGAUCAGAGAGCAAGAUGCAUGCUGCAUCAUGGGACCAAGGAUCUUAGGAGGAUAUUUGGUAUCUGUAAUAUACCAUCUGCACGUGAUUUAAGUCACUCUCCAAGCAUCCUUUUUCAUCACCAUGGAAGUGAUGGAAAUCAUCCUAACUGUGCGAACUCGCAAGAAUGUGCCAAGAUGUCUGGCAGAAAUAAUAGCAUUUAACUGAAGGGGGAAACAGAAGACACACUGGCAUUUCCACUGCUAGCAAAUAUGCUAUCACUUUCCCUAAUAAUUACUUCAGGUUGCACAUGGUUGACAUUUACAACAAGAAACAAAACAGCAAUCAAAAGCAAAUACCAUGUAAGGUACAAACCUAAAAUAAUAAGAUAACUUGGAUCACAGUAUUUACUGAAAAUAUUGAUUCAUUUCUUGGAAUAUUCUUUGUAUAAAAGAUAUAUUUAAUUAUCUCAUUAGUGUUGCAAUCUGGUUUUCUUAUUAAUAAAAGUAACUUAUGAAAAUUACUAGAUCAAUUUAUUUUCUUCUAGUUUUUAACUUGCUGUAAAAUAUCUGAAAUAUCAAUAAAGCGUUUUUCCAGUAGAUCCUAAUGCCAUCUUGUUUGGGACUCAAGGCACAAUAGUGAAAGGAUAAAUGUCCUUACAAAGAACGCAGGUGAGGUAGCUGCAGUCAAUGUCAGAAAUAUGUUUUCGAACAUGAGUAGAAGUUAAUUAAGUCAGAAAAACAUUUACAUCAUAAAAGUUUGUACCCAGGUUUGCACAUACAUUUGGGUUUUGCAUCAUUUACAUCUUCUUCUGCCACUGUCACGGAGAAAGAGCAAGAGCAUGAGCAUUGUUACACGCUCAGGAGGAGCCCUCUUGCUUGUGCGUUGUGUGCCCAUAACCUCAGUGGACCCUGGAACCCACAAAGAUUCUCCUUGUGCUGCCACAUGCUCAAUGCAGAUGGCAUCUUCUGAGAGGAUGUUGGCAGACACACACAAACCCAUAUUUACCGAGUGCAAACAAUGUUUUUUAGGAGUUUGUAAGUCAGCCAAAGGCAAGUGUCUUUCGCGCAGAUUACAAAACAGUUCUCUGACCUCAUGUUGACAAUUUGCAUUUCUCCAGCUCCCAAUUGAAAGUCCUCGAUUAAAGUAUGAAAAGGUUCCUUCACCCAAAUGAUGUUAUUUUUUUCAUAAAGAUGAUUCUUUUUCUAUUUUCAAAGAAUAUCUGGUCUGUUUUAGCUGGAAUUUAAGUUAUGUUCAAGACUCAGCCAAAAAUAUCGGUUUCAAUUCAAUAAACACACUGUAAAUUUAACUUGCAAAUAUAAAUUCAAAUGUAAAUAUUUAAGAAUUUGCAAACAGCUUCAGUAGAGAUUGUCCCUAAUAUAUUCUAGUUCUUUACAACAAGCUUCAAAAGUGUCAAGUGAAUGCUGUCCAUGGUUUAUUCAGAUUGAGGGUCUGGCUCAACACACUUAAAAGUGAUGCAUGGUAAAAUUUCAAAGCAAUAUGUAAUCCUUCAAUAAAAUAAGUACCUGAAGUAA